GGCAGAACAGUGCCUUCAGGUCAGUUCCUGGUUCAAGACCGGCCUCUGCCACUUGCUCUUAGAGGUAAAGAGAGCAGGGCCUGCCCCGUUCUUCACUUGCAGGACCAUUUGUUCAGGCAGCAUUUGCAGGGACUCGUAUUCCGAAAGGAGGGUCUAUCCAGGAGCUUGAGAAGGAGAGCACUCAGCCACGAGAGCAUCGAGAGUGCCAGAAAAACAUCCCAAGACUCACACAGGGUUGUGCCUCAUAGUGGAUGUUUUGGCCACUGGACAUCAGAACCACAUUUUGAGUUUGAAGAAUCUUCUACAUGCUGAGAAAGUGGAAUUCCAGAGACACUCCUGAAAUUGUCCUAAGUUAAAGGAGCCAGUGUGCCAGCUCCCUCUCUGCCAUCGCCUCUGAGAGCAGCCAUGGCCCUGAGUGAUGUCGAUGUGAAAAAGCAGAUUAAGC
RNAcentral lists this long non-coding RNA (445 nucleotides) under Theropithecus gelada (gelada). Its description in RNAcentral is "lncRNA (ENSTGEG00000002122.1)". Lineage: Eukaryota; Metazoa; Chordata; Mammalia; Primates; Cercopithecidae. The record is from RNAcentral.